Molecule: long non-coding RNA, 997 nt
Filed under: Rattus norvegicus (Norway rat)
Lineage: Eukaryota; Metazoa; Chordata; Mammalia; Rodentia; Muridae
Description: long non-coding RNA NONRATT010403
Source: RNAcentral
CCUGCCCCCCCGCCCCCGAAUGUUAGCCUUGGCUGUCAAGUUCAAGGUUGGAAGAGCUGAAACCAGGGGGAAUGGUCCCGGGUGGAGUGAGGUCAAGGGGAGACAGCAGGAUCGGGAGCAUGAAGGAUGAGCCUCAUGGCUCUGCAGAAAAAGACCUUGUCCAAAUGCAGGUAGCUGGGGCUGGGACCCAAAGACAGCAGGCAGAGGGGGCAGCAAAUGAAGUGUGCUGGCGGCAGUGUAUUCCUGGGGCGUCUGAGCAGACGUCAGUGCACACACAGGACACUGGUACCCAGGAGUGGGCACAUUUCGUUAGAUGUCUCAGAGAGGGUCUUAAGGAAGCCACACUGGCCCCUUUUUGUCCCCUUGCACACAGCGUAGAAGGGAAGGAUAAGAAUUGAUACGGGAAUAAACAGAGCAUGCGUACAGGGACUCAAUGGAGACCAGAGGAGGCUGUCAGCUGCCUGGGCUUGCUCAGUCUUCCUCACUGCCCUAGUGAGGCAGGCGUCUGGGUGCUCUUGGGUAGGGUGGGCCUCCCCUUUCCUGAUGCAGGCACUCCUCAGCCCAUUUUACUUAUGUCCUGCCCUUCCUCUUCCCCACCCAGUUGACCCAUUUGAAGUCUCCUUCAGCCACUGAAGGUGGUCAUGGUACUGGGGACUUGGGAGAGUGAGACCCUGUGGAGGGAGAGGAGAGGAGAGUGUCUGGGUGGGGGUUGGGGAUAGGGGUGAACGGUGCUGGAAGCCCAGCUAAAUUUCUGUCUUGUUUGGGUUUUUUUUUUUUGUUUUGUUUUGUUUAAUGUAUAUUUUUAUUAUAAUUAUUAUAUAUGAAUGCCAUUCAAAUCGUUCCUUUUUGUUAACAAGGGGCAUGGGGAGGGGUGGGGGGUGGAGGGGGGAAGAGGUGGCUGACCCCAGAAACCUGCAGGGCGGGGCUGGGUCAGUGCUCUCGAAGGACAUUUUUUGACCUUGUUCAACCUUUCCACGAAGAAUAAACUGUGUUUCAC